AACCAAUUAUAUUUAGGAUUAACUUGUUUGGCCAGGCUCAAAGCCAGGCCGCCCUCCAGCAGGUUUGUUAUAUUUGUCUCUCAUUGCCGCCUCUCUCAUUGCCUUCUCUGUCUCUCUCUCAUUACCGUCUCUCACUAUCGUGUCUAACUCGUCCGUUUCUCCGGUCUGAAAUUCUCUAAAUCGACCAUGUGGGUCUAUGGAAUUUUCCCACUCAGGCGACGUGGGUCUGUGGAAUUGUCCGAAUCACGGAGUCGGUCUUUGGAAUUCUCCAAUCGACGAUGAAACAUAGAUUCGGUUAAAGCUCCUUAAAAAUCAAGUAAACAUUGCUUUUAUUGUUCUUAAGUUUUAUAGUGGUUAUCAAUGAAGAAUGAAAAAAACCCGUUUUUUGUGAAAAUAAGGUGUUUGAUUGUAGAAGUCGUUUGUUGCGAUUUUUGUGAAAACUCAAAAUUUACUGAGUGGGGUGUUGCAUUUAUAUACAUAAUAAAAUUCGGAAAAUGUCAAAUUUUACAAAGCAGAAAAGGAUUACAUUGAAUUGUACAUAGCAAAUGUAGUCACUAAGUGUUUAUGUUAUAAAUAAAUUGGACAAUGCAGUCGUAAGUUAUGAACAAUGUUAUUAUAAUUAUGAAUUGGUGUUGUUCAAUUGCACUUGCACUCUAUUUUAUGGAGUUGAUAUUCUGACUUUGGGCUUGUUCAAUUGCACUGUGCAUUAGAGUUUGCUCGAUGGUAAGAUGGAACAGAGGUAUUUGUCAUAGUUGCUGACAGCUGGGUCACUCAUUGUCGAAAUGCUCCAGAAAGAGAAGAUGCCCAAAAUGUGAUAAGGGGUUCGUGAAAUGGAUGGAGGUGGGAAAAAAAUAGUGCGAACAAAGGACGGAUGUUCCAUUGCUAUACUCGUAACUAUCAGCAUUUCAAGUGGUGAGAUGUUUCGCCAUAUGACAAUGAGAUAGUGCAUUAUGAAGGUGAAUCAAGUGGUUCUUAUUCGGAUGAUUACUUGUAUGCCAAUCGGCUUUGUACAUGGUGCCACCACCACUACUCUUACCGCCCUGGAUGAUUACUUGUAGAUCAAUCGGCUAACCUUCCUCCUCAACCCCCACAUUUGUAUAUGUGAAUGUGCAAUCCAAUCCCAUUAAGUAAGACCAGGAAACACUCUCCCGUUCUUAUGGAAAAAGGACUAGCAUACCACCAUAUGAAGAUUAAGAAGAAAAGUUACCCGUGUUGUUGCCGUUUUUACACUUGCCUCCCUCCACUUCAUCUUCAUUUCUAUAAUAACUGGGUUUAGGGUCCACAGCAAACGAUGGGGAUAACAAUGUGGCAUUCGUCAUCGUGUCGUCGUCGGCGUCGAUGUUACUGGCAUCGUCGGUUGGGUCUACCUUCGUUCCAUUUCUUGAGCGCGUUGGCAAGAUUUGGGAAAAAAUUGUUUGCAAAUGGUUAAUGGCGGGGGAAAAUGGGUAGGGUAUACAGAUUUUAUCAGAAGAUAUAGAAGACAAGCGUCUUCUUGUAUUACUGAAGGGGGGAGCAAUAAAACUUCCUAUUGGCUAAAAAAAAUUGUAACAUGACGACACCGGUGCUUAAUCUUGAAACCUUA
RNAcentral lists this long non-coding RNA (1582 nucleotides) under Olea europaea subsp. europaea. The record is from RNAcentral. Lineage: Eukaryota; Viridiplantae; Streptophyta; Magnoliopsida; Lamiales; Oleaceae.